UAAUUUGACGACAGUAAUCACUGCACUAUUUCUAAAUGCAGCAGAACAUCAAGUUGUUUUCCAUUUAUAUAUUUAAGAAAAACCAACAAGAAUAACUUGAAAUAUAAAAAACCUCAAAAACUUCUGCUUCCCUUGAGAUAGGACAGGCGGUUACAGGUUGUGCGGUCACAGCCUGACCGUUACCGUGCCUGUGAGCCUGGUCUGCUCAUCGCUCUUGCGCUUUCAGCCCUGCUCUGUCACCAAGUCAUUUGGUCCAACAGAGGCAAAGUCCAGCACGAGAGAAGUUUAUUUUCUUAGAUGUUCUCAAAGGCAGAAGCGAUGCAGUACCUUGCAGCUCCCACAGGUGGCAGGUGAAAUGUGGGAAUCCCACGGAGGGCCCUGUUUAUUCGCCACGAAGGCCCAUCAUGAGGUGGUGGGUGGGGCCCUUGGCAGCCUGGGCGUCACUGGAACUCACCACGGGGAUGCCGUGGGCCACGGGAGAAGGGAGAACAGUGCUUCUCAGAGCAGAGAAGAGCCAGUCAGACAGGGUGCGAUGACCAGAGACGGCUGGUGGCUUCGAGGGUCCAGAUUACGGGAGGACCUGUGCUCCAGGAGGAAAUUAAGUUCCAGGCAGAGGACUUUGUUGUUGAAUCUGAAAGCAGACUGAGGCUACUCCAACCUAUCCAAGUGCAAAGGAGUUUGGAGGCAAAAAGGUGCUAACGGGGCUGCGUGAGUGCUGCAGGAGAGAUAAAGAUGGGAUCCUUUCCGGCCGGGAGAGAUAGUGAAAAGAGAGAACGUACCAACGCAGCGGCAA
This is a long non-coding RNA of Fukomys damarensis (Damara mole-rat), 793 nucleotides long. RefSeq lists it as uncharacterized. The transcript has 3 exons. The record is from RefSeq and is a predicted model, not a curated record. Lineage: Eukaryota; Metazoa; Chordata; Mammalia; Rodentia; Bathyergidae.